Molecule: ribosomal RNA, 468 nt
Filed under: uncultured bacterium
Lineage: Bacteria
Description: partial 16S ribosomal RNA
Rfam family: Bacterial small subunit ribosomal RNA (bases 58-468)
Source: RNAcentral
GGGGGGGGGGGGCGGGGGGCGGGGGGGGGGGGGGUCGGGGGGGGGGGGGCGGGGGGGGGGGGGUGCUCGGGGGGCGGACGGGUGCGUAACACGUGAGUCACCUGCCCUUGACUGUGGGAUAACUUCAGGAAACUGGGGCUAAUACCGGAUAGGAGCUCCUGCUGCAUGGUGGGGGUUGGAAAGUUUCGGCGGUUGGGGAUGUACUCGCGCCUUAUCAGCUUGUUGGUGGGGUAGUGGCUUACCAAGGCUUUGACGGGUUGCCGUCCUGAGAGGGUGACCGGCCACAUGGGGACUGAGAGACGGCCCAGACUCAUAAGGGAGGCAGCAGGGGGGAAUAUUGCACAAUGGGCGGAAGCCUGAUGCAGCAACGCCGCGUGCGGGAUGACGGCCUUCGGGUUGUAAACCGCUUUCGCCUGUGACGAAGCGUGAGUGACGGUAAUGGGUAAAGAAGCACAGGCUAACUACGUG